GCCACGCCCCCGCCGCUGAGACCCAGGAAGCCAAGGAAACGCAGUGACUGAACCGGACCUGGGUCCCUUCAGUCAGCCCGAGGAAGUAUCCUAUAUUAUAUUUUUAAAAUAGGAGCUACAAACUCAAAUGUCUCUAGAGGCCAAGAAAUUGUAAGUAAAUUUUAAAAUCCAUUGUAAGAAAAAUUGGAAAAUAUGAGGGUAUGUUAAGUGGAGAGUGCCUGCCCCAUCGAAAGGUAGCAGUGCCAGAUCAUAGUUUUCAGGUAAAGGAGAAAAUCCAUACAUUUUAAUAACAUUUUUGAGUGAUCAUUGAUGUAUAAUAACAUACAUGUAUUUAAAGUGUACAAUUUGAUAAAUUUUGACAUGGAUACAACUAAGAAGCCAUCACCAUAAUCAAGAUAAUGAACAUGUCUACCACCCCCAGAAGUUUUCUCAUGUUUUUAUUCAUCCGUCCCUCCAGUCUCCUACCUCUUCUCCCUGUCCCCACCCACCUCAUCCCCAGGCAACCACUGAUCUGCUUUGUUACUAAAGAUUGUUUGAAUUUUCUAGGAUAAUAUAUAAAUGGAAUCAUACUCUUUCGUCUGGCUGCUUCUACUCAGUCUAGUUAUUUUGAGAUUUAUCUUUAGUGUUGUAUGUAUCAAUUUUUAGUGCUAAGUAGUAAUCCAUUAUAUGGAUAUACCACAGUUUGUUUACCCAUUCAUCCUAUUGAGGGAUGUAUGGAUUAUAUUCUGCUUUUGGCUACUACAAAUAAAUCUGUUAUAAACAUUUGUGUCUUUGCACUUUCAUUUCUCUUGGGUAAGUACCUAGUUGUGGGAUGGCUUUGUCAUGUAGUAGUUUUUAAGAAACUGCCCAACUGUUAUCCAAAGUGAUUUUAACAUUCUACCUACCCCGCAACAGUAUGUGAGAAUUCCACUUCCUCUGCAUCCCUCCUAAUACUUGAUAUGGUCAGUAUUUUUAAUUUUAGCCAUUCUGGUAGGGAUGCAAUGGUAUUUCAUUGUGGUUUUAAUUAUUUUUUUGAGCCAAAGAACAUGCACGAAGGCAAAGGUGUUGGUGUGUUUUUGGGAGGUGGGGCAUACAGCUUUAUGUAUAGUUUUACUGACAAAAUUUAACAUAAAAUUAUUAACUUAUAAUUCUGCCUUUUGCAGCUAUUCUUCCAAUUUUAAAAUAGAGACAUGGCUCUAGGAAAAUGGAGAAACUUUGUACAGCAGGAGAGUAAAGAAUAAUCAACUUGUAUUAUAGUUAAGAACUCAUCCCCCUUCUUCAAACUACAGAUCUGUUGACCAUAAAGUGAUACCAUAUGCAUCACAAAAAUUAGCCACAUGUUCUACUAUACUUACACAGUAGAUAGCUGAGUAUAACCCCAGGAAUGUAACUUCCCAAGAUCGUAAAAAAUGUGCACACACUACAGACCAGGAGACAAAACUGGAAAUAACAGAAAUAACAUGGGAUAGUUAUACAUAACACCAAGAUAUUUUGGAGCACAGGAUACACACACAAUUGUAAAUCUAUAAGUGACCAGUAUAAGUGACCUAUCCGGUUAUUACAGAUUUUUUUCCAAAGAGCAUUGUUUUGCACUAAGGGCUGACUAAUGACUGCUGCAUUCAACCAGCCUUAGUCCAUUUCAACACUUGGUAAUAAUUAUUUUGAGGACACAGGAGCUAAUUUCUGGCACAGAGAGUAACAACUCCCAUUACUCAUGCCUGUGGCUAUAUUACUGCCAGGUGCAAGAGAACAAAAAACUAUUAUGUCCCCAGAAACAACUUCUACUUCACUCAUUUAAGGAAAUUAAUGCGGCCUGAUAACUACAUCUGAAAGUUCAAACUACCACUAUAAGCCCACUGAAAUUCAUAAAAACACAGCAAAACAUGUUACAGAAAUUAGAGGUAUCUAUACAAAUCUAACAUAAUUUACACAAAUCUAAUGUAAUGUAUAGCUGCUAAGCUGACAGGAUAAAUUUAUGGCCAUCACUAUCAUCUUUCCUAACCAUAUAUACUGCUCAAAUUGACCCCACUUCUAAGUCACUUAGAAACAAACUGCCAUUUAAGUGAAACUCCUACAGUGACAUGUUUAUUUUCCUUCUGUCAUUUAUGGUUAAAAAAAAUCUUGAUUGUUUUAAGAAAUUUAAAAACAAUCAGAAAAUAUCCUUAAUUCCCUUUAGGAACAUCAAGGCAGAAAAAUUUUCCCAUAAAGUCUUCACCUGAUUUUUCACACGCCAGUCUUAAACUGUCUUACAUUUUUACAUCAUCUUUAAACAGUGAUAGUAAAUUAAACUGAAAAGCAAGCAAAGGAAAUUCAUUCAGGGAGUUUCUAAAAGACACAGGAGGAAGGAAUACAUACCUCUGACCAAUAACUGAUGAUGAUAAAGAGCAACGGGGUCUAAAUCUAAGUUUGAUUUUGAUUUUUCAUUCUUUAGUACAGAGUUAAUAAAUUAACUAGUCAAAAGCAGAUUAGAUGAAUUGCGGAACAAAACUAAGACCUGUUUCUAAAACAGCAAGGGCCCUGGAAAGAAUUUGAAAUUCUAUAAAUGAAAUGGAAAGGCCAUAAAGUCAAAGUAAGGGAUAAGCCAAGAAAAGUAUUACUAUAUCGAGAAUUUAGUUUUUCAAAGGGAUUUCAUAUUAUGCCCUACAUUUGCAGCAUCAUCAUUUUAAGCUAAUUGACUUGGGGCACAUUAAUGCAACCCAGUGCAGAAGUUUGAAGUUUAGAAUCUUCCAAAAAUACAUUUAAUCACUUCAGUAAAAUCAACAUCAACAGUACAUCAUUCCCCAAAUACAGGUAUCGAUGCUUUAAAAAAAAAAAAAAAAAAAAGCCUUCAAUGAAUAAAAAAAUGCAUCCAAAUGCAA
Molecule: non-coding RNA, 2837 nt
Organism: Chlorocebus sabaeus (green monkey)
Lineage: Eukaryota; Metazoa; Chordata; Mammalia; Primates; Cercopithecidae
Source: RefSeq, a predicted model, not a curated record